This 496-nucleotide ribosomal RNA is filed under the name uncultured bacterium. RNAcentral's name for it is "partial 16S ribosomal RNA". It matches the Rfam family "Bacterial small subunit ribosomal RNA", at positions 28 to 507 of the family's 1533-position model. The record is from RNAcentral.
GAUGAACGCUGGCGGCGUGCCUAAUACAUGCAAGUCGAGCGAACGGACGAGAAGCUUGCUUCUCUGAUGUUAGCGGCGGGCGGGUGAGUAACACGUGGAUAACCUACCUAUAAGACUGGGAUAACUUCGGGAAACCGUAGCUAAUACCGGAUAAUAUUUUGAACCGCAUGGUUCAAAGUGAAAGACGGUCUUGCUGUCACUUAUAGAUGGAUCCGCGCUGCAUUAGCUAGUUGGUAAGGUAACGGCUUACCAAGGCAACGAUGCAUAGCCGACCUGAGAGGGUGAUCGGCCACACUGGAACUGAGACACGGUCCAGACUCCUACGGGAGGCAGCAGUAGGGAAUCUUCCGCAAUGGGCGAAAGCCUGACGGAGCAACGCCGCGUGAGUGAUGAAGGUCUUCGGAUCGUAAAACUCUGUUAUUAGGGAAGAACAUAUGUGUAAGUAACUGUGCACAUCUUGACGGUACCUAAUCAGAAAGCCACGGCUAACUACGUG